Molecule: long non-coding RNA, 530 nt
Filed under: Homo sapiens (human)
Lineage: Eukaryota; Metazoa; Chordata; Mammalia; Primates; Hominidae
Description: HSALNT0115398
Source: RNAcentral
GUACCUGAUGAUUAGUUCUAUCCACUGUAUUGGCCGUGGAGGGGUGGUCUCUAGUGUUCUGACGAAUUCGAGUGGAGUUUUGUUGCUCAAUGUUGGAAGAGGUUGGGAUACAGAACUCUCUGAAGCAUCGUUUGAAGUUUUCAUCCAGAAAUGCAUAAAGGACUGGGUUGAGGCAGCUGUUUGUGUAACCUAGAGCAAUGCAGAAGUGCCAAGAAACAGUCUGGAACGUAGUUUCUGGGAUUGUAACCAAGGCUUUAAUGAUGACGUAAAUGUGAAUGGGAGUCCAGCAGACGAUGAACACAGCCACCACCACCAGCACCAUCCUGGUGAUCCUUCGAAGAUUCCUGUCCUUUUCUUUGGAGCCAGAGAGCAUGCGGACACUCUUGAGGCGCAAGAUCAUCAGUCCAUAGCACACGGUAAUGAUGAGCACUGGCAUAAUGAAGGCGAAGAUGAAAACACAGAUCUUCAGCAGGUUUUCCCAGUACCAGGUUGGAUGAGAGAAUGUUAGUGUACAAUCUAUGGAACCUAGA